UACGGAAGGUCCAGGCGUUAUCCGAAUUUAUUGGGUUUAAAGGGAGCGUAGGCCGUUUGGUAAGCGUGUUGUGAAAUGUCGGGGCUCAACCUGGGCAUUGCAGCGCGAACUGCCAGACUUGAGUGCGCAGGAAGUAGGCGGAAUUCGUCGUGUAGCGGUGAAAUGCUUAGAUAUGACGAAGAACUCCGAUUGCGAAGGCAGCCUGCUGUAGCGCAACUGACGCUGAAGCUCGAAAGCGUGGGUAUCGAACAGG
RNAcentral lists this ribosomal RNA (253 nucleotides) under Leyella stercorea DSM 18206. RNAcentral's name for it is "Prevotella stercorea DSM 18206 partial 16S ribosomal RNA". It matches the Rfam family "Bacterial small subunit ribosomal RNA", at positions 524 to 776 of the family's 1533-position model. Lineage: Bacteria; Pseudomonadati; Bacteroidota; Bacteroidia; Bacteroidales; Prevotellaceae. The record is from RNAcentral.